CGCUCAAUUGAAUAGUUGUAUUUUUCGCAGCUGUUCCUGGUUAGGUCUAAUAAGUACUAUUUAAAACACGCAUAGGAGUGUUUUAUCAAAUUAGGACGGACUUUAAUAUAAAGAAUACUAAUGAAGAUGAGUUUUAUCAGGUAUAAAGCCUCUUCAUGUGACGUAUUAUGGUUGACAUAAUUCGCCAAUAAAGCUUAUCAAUUAUUAAUUAGUGUUUGAAAUGUAUUUAAAAAA
Paramuricea clavata is the source of this 234-nucleotide non-coding RNA. NCBI's taxonomy places the organism in Eukaryota, Metazoa, Cnidaria, Anthozoa, Malacalcyonacea, Plexauridae. The record is from the annotation of a GenBank genome assembly.